CCACUACAUAUGUAUGUAGACAUCCAGAAUAUCAAUUUUACUAUUCUGUUUACAGGCUUCUUUAUUAAACCUCCUCGUUCCACCGACUUUCCCUUACCGCUCCUGGUUUCUAUAUGGUCAUUCCAUCUUGGCCCCAUAAUUUUUGGGGGUGACCUCUUGUGGUGUUGAGCGGGGUGUUUCACAGUAUGUGGACAGCUGUUUUUUCUGCCUGGGAUGGAAGCUAUCCCUAUUAGACCGCCUGAUGCUGCCGCUUGGACUGCAGCACAUCAUUGAGACACAUCAUCAAGCCACACAAACUCUCUGAAGAAGACCUCCAAAGGUCGAAACGUUCGUUAGAUUGUUUUUACUACAAUGCACAUUUUUGACUGUAUAAACAUUGUUUGUGUACUGCGUCUUAUACAUUUAUGUAAACGCUGUUUGUGUACUUGAUACAACUCAUGCUCCAUCCAUUUAUGCUACCCAAUUUUUGUCCACUUUUGUCCAAUUUUAACAUGUGAAUAAAUACAACUUUUUUAUUA
This is a long non-coding RNA of Rana temporaria (common frog), 518 nucleotides long. RefSeq lists it as uncharacterized. The transcript is spliced from 2 exons. NCBI's taxonomy places the organism in Eukaryota, Metazoa, Chordata, Amphibia, Anura, Ranidae. The record is from RefSeq and is a predicted model, not a curated record.